RNAcentral lists this ribosomal RNA (301 nucleotides) under uncultured bacterium. Its description in RNAcentral is "partial 16S ribosomal RNA". It matches the Rfam family "Bacterial small subunit ribosomal RNA", at positions 509 to 807 of the family's 1533-position model. The record is from RNAcentral.
CAGCCGCCGCGGGAAUACAAAGGGUGCAAGCGUUACUCGGAAUUACUGGGCGUAAAGCGUGCGUAGGCGGCUUUUUAAGUCGGAUGUAAAAUCCCUGAGCUUAACUUAGGAAUUGCAUUCGAUACUGGGAAGCUAGAGUAUGGGAGAGGAUGGUAGAAUUCCAGGUGUAGCGGUGAAAUGCGUAGAGAUCUGGAGGAAUACCGAUGGCGAAGGCAGCCAUCUGGCCUAAUACUGACGCUGAGGUACGAAAGCAUGGGGAGCAAACAGGAUUAGAUACCCGCGUAGUCCCUGUCUCUUAUAC